GCUCGAGUAGCACAGUUGGAUAGUGCAUCUGCCUUCUAAGCAGAGGGUCGUGGGUUCGAAUCCCGCCUCGAGUA
Non-coding RNA from Fibrobacter sp., 74 nucleotides. The record is from Rfam. Lineage: Bacteria; Pseudomonadati; Fibrobacterota; Fibrobacteria; Fibrobacterales; Fibrobacteraceae.